UACGAAGGGGGCUAGCGUUGCUCGGAAUCACUGGGCGUAAAGGGUGCGUAGGCGGUUGUUUAAGUUUGGUGUGAAAUCUCCCGGCUCAACUGGGAGGGUGCGCCGAAUACUGAAUGACUAGAGUGCGGGAGAGGAGAGUGGAAUUCCUGGUGUAGCGGUGAAAUGCGUAGAUAUCAGGAGGAACACCGGUGGUGUAGACGGCUCUCUGGACCGUAACUGACGCUGAGGCACGAAAGCGUGGGGAGCGAACAGG
This 253-nucleotide ribosomal RNA is filed under the name uncultured bacterium. RNAcentral's name for it is "partial 16S ribosomal RNA". It matches the Rfam family "Bacterial small subunit ribosomal RNA", at positions 524 to 776 of the family's 1533-position model. The record is from RNAcentral.